RNAcentral lists this transfer RNA (64 nucleotides) under Cavia porcellus (domestic guinea pig). It matches the Rfam family "tRNA". Rfam says of the family: Transfer RNA (tRNA) molecules are approximately 80 nucleotides in length. Their secondary structure includes four short double-helical elements and three loops (D, anti-codon, and T loops). Further hydrogen bonds mediate the characteristic L-shaped molecular structure. tRNAs have two regions of fundamental functional importance: the anti-codon, which is responsible for specific mRNA codon recognition, and the 3' end, to which the tRNAs corresponding amino acid is attached (by aminoacyl-tRNA synthetases). tRNAs cope with the degeneracy of the genetic code in two manners: having more than one tRNA (with a specific anti-codon) for a particular amino acid; and 'wobble' base-pairing, i.e. permitting non-standard base-pairing at the 3rd anti-codon position. Lineage: Eukaryota; Metazoa; Chordata; Mammalia; Rodentia; Caviidae. The record is from Rfam by way of RNAcentral.
GGGGAUUUAGCUCAGCGGCAUAAGCGCCUGCCUAGCAAGCAGGCAGUUGUGAGUUCAAUCCCUG